CGGACGGGUGAGUAACGCGUAGGAACCUAUCGCACAGUGGGGGAUAACACGGGGAAACCGGUGCUAAUACCGCAUGUGGUCAGAGAUGAAGAAAGCAGCAAUGCGCUGUGUGAGGGGCCUGCGUCCGAUUAGCUAGUUGGUGGGGUAAAGGCCUACCAAGGCGACGAUCGGUAGCUGGUCUGAGAGGAUGGUCAGCCACACUGGGACUGAGACACGGCCCAG
RNAcentral lists this ribosomal RNA (222 nucleotides) under uncultured bacterium. Its description in RNAcentral is "partial 16S ribosomal RNA". It matches the Rfam family "Bacterial small subunit ribosomal RNA", at positions 99 to 334 of the family's 1533-position model. The record is from RNAcentral.